RNAcentral lists this ribosomal RNA (459 nucleotides) under Triticum aestivum (bread wheat). Its description in RNAcentral is "partial small subunit ribosomal RNA". Lineage: Eukaryota; Viridiplantae; Streptophyta; Magnoliopsida; Poales; Poaceae. The record is from RNAcentral.
AUGGCAAAAUACUGGUGGGGAAGCUCCAUUGAUAAACGAUCUCUCCACUGGCUAUCUUGGGCAAAUCUUGUGAAACCAAAAGUGAAGGGCGGCAUGGGAUUCCGAGACUUACACCUCUUCAAUCUGGCAAUGCUCGGGAAACAUGGCUGGCGCCUUCUGACUAGGCCGGACUCUCUUUGUGCUAGGGUGCUGAAGGGGAAAUAUUUCCCUCACACAGACUUUCUCAAUGCCACAGCCCCGGCAAGAUCGUAGGCGACAUGGAAAGCCAUCAUUUCGGGGAGGGAUGCCCUGAAUGUUGGCCUCAUUCAUCGAGUGGGUGAUGGUACCUCCAUCGCCACUUGGACGGACAGCUGGAUACCCAACACGCCCACUCUAAAACCCAGGGGACGCUUGGGAUCGGCGCCACUACUCACGGUUUCUGAGCUCAUAGACGAGUAUACGGGAAACUGGAAUGAAUAG